Molecule: unclassified non-coding RNA, 274 nt
Filed under: Hevea brasiliensis (rubber tree)
Lineage: Eukaryota; Viridiplantae; Streptophyta; Magnoliopsida; Malpighiales; Euphorbiaceae
Source: RNAcentral
CUCUGUUUUCUGCCAAAUUUUUCUCAUCUAAAUCUUUAGGAAAUGAAAAGCUUGGACAAUCUUUUGACUGCCAAAUUUUCUGUGUCAUUAAGCAAGUUCUUUGUACAUAUUGUCAUCAAGCAAGCAACAUAUUUUAAAAUCUAACUGUAGAACUUCACAGGGCUGAUCCAUUUGUUCUUUCUCUGUUUUCCCGGUGAAUGCUUACCUUCAGUUUUCAUGCCUUUUGGUGGUUGACUGAUCCCUGGUCUUGUUAUUUGUAUAUUUCUCAGGUUGG